RNAcentral lists this ribosomal RNA (1113 nucleotides) under Bacillus mycoides. Its description in RNAcentral is "bacterial SSU rRNA". It matches the Rfam family "Bacterial small subunit ribosomal RNA", at positions 56 to 1155 of the family's 1533-position model. The record is from RNAcentral. Lineage: Bacteria; Bacillati; Bacillota; Bacilli; Caryophanales; Bacillaceae.
UGCAGUCGAGCGAAUGGAUUAAGAGCUUGCUCUUAUGAAGUUAGCGGCGGACGGGUGAGUAACACGUGGGUAACCUACCCAUAAGACUGGGAUAACUCCGGGAAACCGGGGCUAAUACCGGAUAAUAUUUUGAACUGCAUAGUUCGAAAUUGAAAGGCGGCUUCGGCUGUCACUUAUGGAUGGACCCGCGUCGCAUUAGCUAGUUGGUGAGGUAACGGCUCACCAAGGCGACGAUGCGUAGCCGACCUGAGAGGGUGAUCGGCCACACUGGGACUGAGACACGGCCCAGACUCCUACGGGAGGCAGCAGUAGGGAAUCUUCCGCAAUGGACGAAAGUCUGACGGAGCAACGCCGCGUGAGUGAUGAAGGCUUUCGGGUCGUAAAACUCUGUUGUUAGGGAAGAACAAGUGCUAGUUGAAUAAGCUGGCACCUUGACGGUACCUAACCAGAAAGCCACGGCUAACUACGUGCCAGCAGCCGCGGUAAUACGUAGGUGGCAAGCGUUAUCCGGAAUUAUUGGGCGUAAAGCGCGCGCAGGUGGUUUCUUAAGUCUGAUGUGAAAGCCCACGGCUCAACCGUGGAGGGUCAUUGGAAACUGGGAGACUUGAGUGCAGAAGAGGAAAGUGGAAUUCCAUGUGUAGCGGUGAAAUGCGUAGAGAUAUGGAGGAACACCAGUGGCGAAGGCGACUUUCUGGUCUGUAACUGACACUGAGGCGCGAAAGCGUGGGGAGCAAACAGGAUUAGAUACCCUGGUAGUCCACGCCGUAAACGAUGAGUGCUAAGUGUUAGAGGGUUUCCGCCCUUUAGUGCUGAAGUUAACGCAUUAAGCACUCCGCCUGGGGAGUACGGCCGCAAGGCUGAAACUCAAAGGAAUUGACGGGGGCCCGCACAAGCGGUGGAGCAUGUGGUUUAUUUCGAAGCAACGCGAAGAACCUUACCAGGUCUUGACAUCCUCUGAAAACUCUAGAGAUAGAGCUUCUCCUUCGGGAGCAGAGUGACAGGUGGUGCAUGGUUGUCGUCAGCUCGUGUCGUGAGAUGUGGGUUAGUCCCGCAACGAGCGCAACCUUGAUCUUAGUUGCCAUCAUAAGUUGGGCACUCUAAGGUGACUGCCGG